UAAAUCAGUUAUCGUUUAUUUGAUAGUACCUUACUACAUGGAUAACCGUGGUAAUUCUAGAGCUAAUACAUGCGUAAAGGCCCGAUUGGGCUGUAUUUAUUAGAUCCAAAACCAAUGCCCUUUGGGCUUCUUGGUGAUUCAUAAUAACUUAACGAAUCGCAUGGCCUUGAGCCGGCGAUGGUUCAUUCAAAUUUCUGCCCUAUCAACUUUCGAUUGGUGAGUAGUGUUCACCAAUGGUGUCGACGGGUAACGAAGAAUUAGGGUUCGAUCUCGGAGAGGAAGCCUGAGAAACGGCUUGCACAUCCAAGGAAGGCAGCAGGCGCGCAAAUUACCCAAUCCUGAUACAGGGAGGUAGUGACAAUAAAUACUGAUGCAGGGCUCUUUUGGGUCUUGCAAUUGGAAUGAGUACAAUUUAAAUCCCUUAACGAGGAACAAUUGGAGGGCAAGUCUGGUGCCAGCAGCCGCGGUAAUUCCAGCUCCAAUAGCGUAUAUUAAAGUUGUUGCAGUUAAAAAGCUCGUAGUUGAAAUUUGGGUCUGGCUGACCGGUCCGCCUCACCGCGUGUACUGGCUCGGCCGGGUCUUUCCUUCUGGGGAAGCCCAUGGCCUUCACUGGCUGUGUGGGGGAACCAGGACUUUUACUUUGAAAAAAUUAGAGUGUUCAAAGCAGGCCUUUGCUCGAAUACAUUAGCAUGGAAUAAUGGAAUAGGACGGCUUUCCUAUUUUGUUGGUUUCUAGGAGAGCCGUAAUGAUUAAUAGGGACAGUCGGGGGCAUCAGUAUUCAAUUGUCAGAGGUGAAAUUCUUGGAUUUAUUGAAGACUAACUACUGCGAAAGCAUUUGUCAAGGAUGUUUUCAUUAAUCAAGAACGAAAGUUAGGGGAUCGAAGACGAUCAGAUACCGUCGUAGUCUUAACCAUAAACUAUGCCGACUAGGGAUCGGCCGAUGUUACAAAUAUGACUCGGUCGGCACCUUACGAGAAAUCAAA
This 983-nucleotide ribosomal RNA is filed under the name Antidactylaria minifimbriata. Its description in RNAcentral is "SSU rRNA". It matches the Rfam family "Eukaryotic small subunit ribosomal RNA", at positions 102 to 1102 of the family's 1831-position model. The record is from RNAcentral. Lineage: Eukaryota; Fungi; Ascomycota; Dothideomycetes; Microthyriales; Microthyriaceae.